Molecule: ribosomal RNA, 441 nt
Filed under: uncultured bacterium
Lineage: Bacteria
Description: partial 16S ribosomal RNA
Rfam family: Bacterial small subunit ribosomal RNA
Source: RNAcentral
CCUACGGGAGGCAGCAGUGGGGGAUAUUGCACAAUGGGGGGAACCCUGAUGCAGCGACGCCGCGUGGGUGAAGGAGUGCUUCGGCAUGUAAAGCCCUAUCGGCAGGGAAGAAGCAAGACGGUACCUGACUAAGAAGCCCCGGCUAACUACGUGCCAGCAGCCGCGGUAAUACGUAGGGGGCGAGCGUUAUCCGGAUUCCCUGGGUGUAAAGGGAGCGUAGACGGCCAUGUGAGCCAGGGGUGAAAGCCCGGGGCCCAACCCCGGGACUGCCCUUGGAACUGUGCGGCUAGAGUGCGGGAGGGGCAGGCGGAAUGCCUGGUGUAGCGGUGAAAUGCGUAGAGAUCAGGAGGAACACCGGUGGCGAAGGCGGCCUGCUGGACCGCGACUGACGUUGAGGCGCGAAAGCGUGGGGAGCGAACAGGAUUAGAUACCCGGGUAGUC